GUUGAUCCUGCCGGAGGCUACUGCUAUUGGAGUUCGAUUAANCCAUGCGAGUCUAAGGGACUUCGGUCCCUGGCAUAAUGCUCAGUAACAAGUGGAUAAUUUGCCCUCAGGUGAGGAAUAAACCCGGGAAACUGGGGCUAAUACCUCAUAGGCACAGAAAGCUGGAAUGCUUCUGUGCUCAAAGCUCCGGCGCCUGAGGAUGAGUCUGCUCCCUAUCAGGUUGUAGUCAGGGUCAAGGCCUGACUAGCCUACGACGGGUACGGGGUGUGAAAGCACUUGCCCGGAGAUGGUUUCUGAGACACGAAACCAGGCCCUACGGGGCGCAGCAGGCGCGAAAACUUCGCAAUGCGGGAAACCGUGACGAGGGAACUCCAAGUGUCUAUGCAAUGCAUAGACUGUUUUUCAGCCUAAACAGCUGU
This 419-nucleotide ribosomal RNA is filed under the name uncultured archaeon. RNAcentral's name for it is "bacterial SSU rRNA". It matches the Rfam family "Archaeal small subunit ribosomal RNA", at positions 7 to 430 of the family's 1478-position model. The record is from RNAcentral.